Molecule: long non-coding RNA, 1757 nt
Organism: Cyanistes caeruleus (blue tit)
Lineage: Eukaryota; Metazoa; Chordata; Aves; Passeriformes; Paridae
Source: Ensembl
GUAGCUCUGUUUUGUUGGAACAGUUUGGGAUUAUUGUAAAGCAACUGGGAGCAAACAAGUGGUGCAAUAUCCUGGGACUACAAUGAAGAUUACGGCAUUGUCCCCCUCCUCCCUGCCUCUCAGAUCAGAAUCCAUGUGGGAAAGAAAACCUAUCUAGCAUUUCAUUGCAUGGAAGCUUGGUGGGAAGCACUGUCAUACCAGCAAUUUAAUGCUUCACAGUAUCACCAGAUGAACAGUUUGCCUAACUUAUGGAAAAUACAGUGGUUAUUCUUGAAAAUCAUGUUAAACAUUAACCAAGAAGAGGAACUCAGUAUGCACGAUAGGAAGAAAUAUCCCCUUUGCAUCCAGCGCUGAAUAAAUAAUGCCUGAUUCUUAAUGCUGCAUUGAUGUUAAGGAGUUUUUCCUACCAAUUUUCGUAACAAUAGGACAAAUUUAAGAAGAAAAAAACAUUAUCUGCUAUUGUAUCUUCUACUCUUCCAUGGUGCACUCUGUCUGGUCCUUAGUUUUGGGCCCUCUGGACAAUUUCAGCAUUUACAAUGUUUAUUUCAAAAGGCUUUUCAGGUGCAACAGAAUGAUUUUGAGUAAAUGUGACUCUCAGAGUGAAGGGAGUCUAGUUCUACUCUGUCUGAAAACAGGCAAAACAAUCAUUCUUUGACAAAUAUUUCUCUUGGCUAUGUAAGUGGGGAUGGAAAAAAUACUUGGCUAGUCUAGGUAGUGCCUGCAUUAUGGAUGUAGGUAUAUAUAUGGAUCUUGCAUGUACUUGUGUAUCAAAGUGGCACUAGAAACACUGAAGCAGAACUAAUUUUAACUGAAAGAGGUAGCCUUAUUUCCAGUGUAAUUUCUACUCUAGCAGAUUGCCCUUCUUCCUGUCUUGAAAACAGGACACCAAACAAAAUGGUUCUGUUGGAUGAGAAUGGGUGUCUCUAAAUAUUUUAGAAGCUUAUUUCCUGGAAGUGUCUUUUCUAUUAUUCUGUUUAAUAUUUGCUAGAGUGACUACACUGCAGGUGUAUGCAUGAACAAAAAGACUACACUCCUUUCUGAUAUAAUGGGUAAGAUGAUGUUAGCAUUAAGCAAGUUCAUUUGCUGUUGCUAAAAAGUUGUCCUUAUUUCUUCCCCUUUUUUCCUACCUGUCUCCUGCACCCAGCCUCAAGGAUCUGUCUUCUGCAUUGUCCUUGGUCUGUGACUCACCAGAAUGGCUGGUGCCUUAAAUUUACUAACCCAACAAAAAGCUAUUAAAAAACUAUGCAUAUUUGGAUUUGCUUUUUUUAUGUUUGUUUUGUUUGUUUGUUUGUUUUUUUUACCGGACUAGUGAGCUGAAGCAGUUUGUUGUAAGGAUAGGUGUAUUUAUGUCAGUGCAGGGAACACAAAGCUGGAAGUGAAUGGAAGGAGAUAUGGAAGGACACCCAUCUUUCUGCAGUUUUGAGAUGUUAGACUUGUUCAGUCCAGUAUUGUGUAAUAGCUGUAUGAUGCCCUAAGACAAAAAUAACUGACUAAUGCUUAGUUUCAUCUUGAGACAGAAAAAAUGAAAGGAUUAUAGAAGGAUCACCUAUUAUCUCUUGUUUCAUGGGUUUAGUUUCAUUUCCGUCAAUAUUUCAUCCUGUCUUAUAAAUAGCAUCUGGUAGUUACUGCAGAAAGCAUUAGCAAAUAUAUUCCAUGUAAAUUGAGUUUGUUCUAUGAGUAAUCAUAGUGAUCAGAUUAGUUUUCAGUAAAAUUUGUUGUUUAAUAAAGCUCUGUCAAUAAAACUGGUUGUGAAAAUU